This is a long non-coding RNA of Zea mays, 647 nucleotides long. RefSeq lists it as uncharacterized. NCBI's taxonomy places the organism in Eukaryota, Viridiplantae, Streptophyta, Magnoliopsida, Poales, Poaceae. The transcript is spliced from 2 exons. The record is from RefSeq and is a predicted model, not a curated record.
UCACGCUGGGAAGCCCUCUCGCUGGCAGGUGGACCCCGGCACCAGGACUUUCUUCCCUGUUGCAACGGACUCAUCCGUAAAGAUCGUAACCGCCAGGAUCUUCCCCCAACAACCAAAUCGCCCCAGGCUUCUUGCGCCGAUCUACCAGAUUCCCAUGGGGAUAUACAUACCCAGGGCACAUCCGCCCCCGGCACCGUGUGAUCAAACCGUGCCCACACCGAGCAAGCAUCGACCAAAGAGAGAAGGGAGAAAGAGACAUCCGCCGUCGGGUAUAGGUGUGUGGGUCGCCACCUUGCUCAUAAAGUAUGGUCGGAGGAUGUCGACAUGACGUGUUGUACCUGUGCGAGGCAUCUUCGAGCUUUGGGGUCAGCGAAACCUCGAGAAUUCCUCGUUGGAGUUCCCACUCCCCCGCGGUGCCACUCCUCGCCGUGGCCGGCGUCACCUGAGCGACAAUCCGUGGUCAAGUACAGGUACCACAAGAUAAGGAGCCUGAAGGAUAUCGCGAUGAGUUCAUGAGAGGUCUAGGUCGUCGUCUCCCUGUCAACUAUGGUUACGGAGGGUCGUUAUCUUCAUGUGAUGUAAUUAUUUAGCUAUUUUGUACAGAACCCCUAUUAUAUAAUGAAGAUGUGACAUUCGUUUCUAUAUCA